UACGUAGGUGGCAAGCGUUGUCCGGAUUUACUGGGCGUAAAGAGCGCGCAGGCGGUCGUGCAAGUCGCGUGUGAAAGCCCCCGGCUCAACUGGGGAGGGUCACGCGAUACUGAUCGACUCGAAGGCAGGAGAGGGUAGUGGAAUUCCGAGUGUAGAGGUGAAAUUCGUAGAUAUUCGGAAGAACACCAGUGGCGAAGGCGACUUACUGGACACAUAUUGACGCUGAGGUGCGAAAGCGUGGGGAGCAAACAGG
Molecule: ribosomal RNA, 253 nt
Filed under: uncultured bacterium
Lineage: Bacteria
Description: partial 16S ribosomal RNA
Rfam family: Bacterial small subunit ribosomal RNA
Source: RNAcentral